Molecule: transfer RNA, 72 nt
Filed under: Camelus bactrianus (Bactrian camel)
Lineage: Eukaryota; Metazoa; Chordata; Mammalia; Artiodactyla; Camelidae
Also listed under: 3 other names
Rfam family: tRNA
About the family: Transfer RNA (tRNA) molecules are approximately 80 nucleotides in length.
Source: Rfam by way of RNAcentral
GAGGGUGUAGCUCAGUGGUAGAGUGCAUGCCUAGCAUGCAUGAGGUCCUGGGUUCAAUCCCCAGUACUUCCA